CUGAACUUAGGUCUGUCUCCUUAAACCUGGGACCCUGGCUGCACCCAGACCUUCCCAGGGCCCCGUGGAGAGGGUGUAUUGGUGUAACUGCACAGAUAGGGUGUUGCAUGGAGAUGGGGGGUGAGCAGUAGCAGCCCAGAGGGCUGUUUGGAUAGAUGUUGUCUGAGAAGGGGACUCAGGAAGAGAGCCCAAAGUGAAGUCACUUCCUUGACAAUAGACCCCCACAGAACUUGGAACCCCUGUAACCAGGCGCCCACAUUCCAGUGACAGCCCCAUACCCAGCCCACUUGGCCAGACACUUCACUUACAAAUAUGUUCUCCCGCUGUGUCCUCACUUAACGGGGCUCUUGUUUUGGGACAGCCUGGAGUGAGAGCCUUUUCGGAAGCUGCAGACAUUUGUUCAACCCUCACUCGACCCAGACACCUCUGGCCAUUUGACAGGAGGUCCCCUAAGAGCUCCACCCAGGAGACGGGACAGGAGCUGAUCAGUGGGGUCCUCUACUGCAUCUGCCUGCAGGGGAGCAGGUGCCCCACACCAGCCACAGAGUCCGGCGCUGGCUCAUGGGUGAAAAUGUGUCCACAGUGAAAUGGAAGAGACCCGCAUGGUGUGGACCGUCCAGGGAGGCAGGCCAGAAAAGCAAGUGGAGCACCUGGUGUUCGCCUUCCUGGGCAGUGACCCCUCAUACGUGCCCACCCUCCUGGGCACCUGCAGAGCUUCUGCCAACACCCAACAGCACUCGACCUGCUGUUCAAAGGAUCAUCUCCUCAAUCCUGGGCACCUGACUGGACCAGGAUUUCCACCAGCCACCAGAAUUUCCCUGCCUGAAGAUGCUACUGGCCUACACUGGGCUCAACAUGCCGGCUCGGACCUGGAGCGCCAUGCCCACCCGCUUCUGGCACAACUAGAGCACCUUAAGCCCAUUGAGGUACCAGCUCCAGAGCAAGCUCUAGAACCACUUCAAGAGUUAGUGCCAGCUCCCAUUCUACUGCCCACUACAGUUCCAGAGCCAGAGCCAGCUCAAGCCACAGCUCUCAUUCAAUUCAAGAGCUCAAACAAGCAUAUAUGUCAGCUAUAAUUCCUGAGCCAGGGAGUGCUCAAGCCACAGCUGUCAUUCAAGCUCAAGAGCUAGAACAAGCACCUACAUAAGCUCCAAUUCCAGAGCCAGGAAAGGUUCAAGCAACACCUCCCACCUAAUGUCCAGAGCUAGAAGCAUCACGAAAACCUAUUCUAGUAUGAGCUCCAGAACUCCAGCAAGUUCCAUCAACAGCUCCAGCUCCAGAGCACAAGCCAACCACAGCAAGAGCACUACCGCCAGCUCUUGAGCCCCAUAGUGCUUUGGCACCAGCUCCAGUUCUAGAACUAAAGACAAUAACAGACCCCAUUCUCAAAGCAACACUGGUGCCAGAGCCAGUUCCUCCCCCAGUAUACUAGAGCUGGUACCAGCUCAGCAACCAGCGCCAGCUCCUGCAACGCCUCCAGGGCCCGAUCACAAGCUGCAACUCACACCAGCUGCAGCCCCAGAGACUUCCUUCCCCUCCCCUAUAAUUCCACUUUUUAAAUUUUUGUUUUUCCUUAUAUUUACUCAAUAUUUUACUAUAUUCUAUCAUAUAAAAUUCACAAAAUAAAAUUUAACUCUUUGAUCACUUUAAAUGGGACAUUAAGUACAUUCACAAUCUUGCAUAAUCCCCACUGCUGUCUAUUCCAGAACAUUUUCAUCAAAGAGAAGCCCCGUAUCUACUAGUCAGUCACUCCUCCUUCCUGUCACCCAGCCCCUGGCACCGACUAUCUUCUUUAUGUCUCUAUGGAUUUAUCAAAACGGGGCUGUCCAUAUCAGAGGAAUCAUAUAAUAUGUGGCCUUCUGUGUCUGGCUAAAUAAUGCAUGAGGAGACUGAUUAAUGAUCAUUUUUAUUUCAACAGAAGUAAUUUUUUUUAUUAACAAGGACAAUCCUUGAUCCAUGAAAGAUUAUGUGUAGGAAAUGAUGCCUAAAUAUUAAAUGUUUUCAUUACCUUGGGAUAGGGAACACUUUCACAUGUAUGACACAAGAGCCAGCAACAUAAGGGAAAUAUCUGAACAGUGAGACACUUAAAAUCUUUUCUUUUUUGGAUUGGCAAUGUGUGAAUUUUUUCUAACAUGUAUUUUUUUAAAAUUGAUAUCACAUAUUAAAUGUUAUCCAUUUAUCACAAAUCUCUUAAUUAAUAAUGUACUUUAUAUGGUUUUUUAAAGUUUAAGAUAAAGAUAAUGUUUAUUUAUUAAAAUAAGGAUUUAAAUAUGGACUAAUAAAGGAAGAUAUACUCCUCCUACCAAGAAAUAGUUGCCCACAGCACGUGGCGUCCAUCCUUCCAUCCUUUCCCUUUAAGUGCAGGUGGCGGGUGUGUGUGUUUGAGGGUGUGGUGUGGGGAUUCCAGGGCUGUGCUCUUCUGUAACCUGAUGUCCCCACAGGUGGACAUGCACAGUCAGUCCUGUCCCCUUGUGCAUUCUCAGUGGCCACACAUCACGACUUACUCAGCAUCCCCGGCUGUUGAACAAUGGGGCCAUUUCCAAUUUUUCACUCCCAAAAUUGUGCUGAAAGGUACAACUGUGUCCAUAAAUCUCUAUUCUUUUAGGACUGAUCCCUAUAAAUGGAAUUUCUGGAACACAAUAUGUCCACGUUUUAAGGUAUUGCUGUGGCUUCCAUUACCUGCGGUCUCUUUAUGAAGUUUAAGCUUUGUUUGGGAAAGCAGGGACUCCAGAGACACUUGGUUGAACAUAAGCAUUUUGAGGAAGUUGAAAAAGCCAGCAGUGGAGGCCAUCAGGAUACCUGGGAGUGAUCCAUGGAGCAGGGAGGGCCCCUGAAGACCCCACCAGAUACCUCUUCCACAACACCCACUGCUCCAUGCCCUGGACCAUGUGUCUCCCAGCCCCUUCUAUGACACACCCCAGGCCCCACCCAGCGGCCACCCCAGCCCCUCCUGCUCCACAACUCAGCCUCUGGGCAAAGCCAGACCCUGCCAUCUAGGACAGAGGAAGGUACAGGCCAGGCCACUCCUGUCUGCCAUCUUCCCCCAUGCCAGAGUCCCUUUCUCUCCACAGGAAAGCUCCUCUAAGGGCACGUCAGCGUGUUGUAGGCAUGACCUUGAAUGUGUUCAAUCCAGGUGAAGUUCUCAGUUGCAACAGCAGGACCCACUUGAGCUUGUGUGAGCAGAAGAGGCCUUUAUAAAGCACAUCAAGGGCUCUUGGAAGCUGCGUGAAGGUCAGAGGCUCAGGCCAGGGUAUUGGAGCUGGGCACAGCCCCAAAUCACCCCUCAGGCUCCUCCAGCAGUGACCCCCUGUGCCCAGCCCUGUGCCAGCCCCCGGCCCUGCUAUCCCUCACAUUAGGCUUCUGUGUUGGAGUGAGCUCUGCCUCCUGCCCAAGACUCCAAGUGAGGAUGAAAAAGGGAGCCCUAUUCUCCCUCAAAAUAAGAUCAAGUUGAGUCCUCUGGUCAGAGGCUGUUGAGUGAGGCCAUGGUCAGCGAUCUCUCUCUUCUCUGGGAAUCCAGAGAUGGAUCCCCCAUGCAGAGAACAUUGGUCUUCAUUGGGAAGAAACUGGAGCUCUCCCUAGAGGGGCACGGGCUCUGUGUCGGAUUGCAGGAAGGGGCCAGGAAUCAUCCUGCCAAAGUUUCAUCCAAAACCACAUUCUCCUCCAGAAAACAUCUUCAAUUCUGACCACCAAAAUGACUGUGGGCUACCUGGCAGCCAUGGAAGCCCAACAUGCUGCCUACCUUGUGAGCAGAGAGGAGGGAUGAAAAAUGCAUGACCCAGGGCAGAAACAUUUCCUGCCUCGGCAAAGAGGGUGCCCUGUCAUUGGAGCAGAAAAUGCAUGCACGGAAUCCCAGAAUGCAGAUCUCAAAAUGUAGCAUGUCACUGUCUACAGACACUAAGAUCCGAGCCAAGUAUGGAGCUGGCACUGGAGUUACUUACUCAUAGAGAUACUUUUAUCUCUGGAGUUGGUAGUAAUGAUUGUUCUUGAGAUACACAUCUUUGCCAACAGUUUCUAAUUUCUGUGUGUGUGUGUUAAUUAUAGCCAUUGCAGUGGGUGUGGAGUGGUAUCUCAUUGUGGUUUUGAU
Molecule: long non-coding RNA, 4084 nt
Organism: Equus caballus (horse)
Lineage: Eukaryota; Metazoa; Chordata; Mammalia; Perissodactyla; Equidae
Source: Ensembl